Molecule: ribosomal RNA, 754 nt
Filed under: uncultured Bulleidia sp.
Lineage: Bacteria; Bacillati; Bacillota; Erysipelotrichia; Erysipelotrichales; Erysipelotrichaceae
Description: bacterial SSU rRNA
Rfam family: Bacterial small subunit ribosomal RNA
Source: RNAcentral
GAUGAACGCUGGCGGCGUGCCUAAUACAUGCAAGUCGAACGCUGGAGAUCUAGCUUGCUAGAUCGAAGGAGUGGCGAACGGGUGAGUAAUACAUAAGCAACCUACCCACGAAGACUGGGAUAAUCUCUGGAAACGGGGACUAAUACCGGAUAGGUAAUCGGAAGGCAUCUUCUGAUUAUUAAAGGUUAAAAACACUGGUGGAUGGGCUUAUGGCGCAUUAGUUAGUUGGUGAGGUAACGGCCCACCAAGACGAUGAUGCGUAGCCGGCCUGAGAGGGUGAACGGCCACAUUGGGACUGCGACACGGCCCAGACUCCUACGGGAGGCAGCAGUAGGGAAUUUUCGGCAAUGGGGGAAACCCUGACCGAGCAACGCCGCGUGAGUGAUGACGGCCUUCGGGUUGUAAAGCUCUGUUGUAAGGGAAGAACGGUAGAUAGAGAAUAUCUAAGUGACGGUACCUUACCAGAAAGCCACGGCUAACUACGUGCCAGCAGCCGCGGUAAUACGUAGGUGGCGAGCGUUAUCCGGAAUUAUUGGGCGUAAAGGGUGCGUAGGCGGCCUGUUAAGUAAGUGGUUAAAUUGUUGGGCUCAACCCAAUCCAGCCACUUAAACUGGCAGGCUAGAGUAUUGGAGAGGCAAGUGGAAUUCCAUGUGUAGCGGUAAAAUGCGUAGAUAUAUGGAGGAACACCAGUGGCGAAGGCGGCUUGCUAGCCAAAGACUGACGCUCAUGCACGAAAGCGUGGGGAGCAAAUAGG